UUCGCAGGGUCCUGGUGGUGAAUGCAGCUGCCUCCCCUGCAGAGAGGCUGAGCCUGGUCGGAGCAAGAAGCUCGGCUGCACCGCUCACCUGCAGGAGAAGGACCCAUCACUCCGUGCUGGUACCGUUGUCAGCAGUGCUCUUGCCGAUUGCAAGACUGGUGGAAGCAUCAAAGGGGGUUAGUGGGCUGACAGUGAUUAAAAAUAUCGACUCCUGCUUUAGCUCUUGCCUGCUUUAGCUCUGCUUGCUUUCCAGUUUUUGGGUUUGCUGUGGCUAGCAGAAAUGCAGGCAAGUGUGGGAAGCUUUCUUGUGGCUGGCACUUGUCACUUACGGGUUAGGGGUAAACGGAUAGAAAAGGGAGGCUUUGCUCAGGGGAGAAACAAUGACUAUCCCAUCAGCUGCCUAAGACGGUCACUGGGACAGACACUGUGUUCUGACUUCACUCUCUGUCCUCCCUGUUGUCUAGGAGGAGGAGGGAGAGGGAAAGAUUGAUCUGUGGGUGGAAAUUCAGGACUGCAAAGGUCCAACAGAAAGGACAAGGUUCCCCAGUAGCCAGCACAGCUCAGCCACACACUGAUCUCAUUGUCAUUUUUGGUAACGUCUGGUGCAGUGUCCAAGCAGAAGCCUUGGAGUCAGGGUCCAGGACUGGGAAGGAGCUCAUGGAGCUGUCAGGAAUUGCAAGGGGCUGGAGGCGGUGGUUUCUGCAAGGUGAAGUGGGAAGGGCAAUUGAUCAGGGUCCUGAGCACUCUCACUUGACAAGGACAGCCUAUGUAGUGUUCACAAAGGUCCAUACAAGCCCCUUCCCUCUAGAGUAAAAUUACUCUUUCUUUUCCACUCAGUGCCCUUGGAAUGUGUGCCUAAUGAUGAUCAAUGAAAAUAGAAGCCCUGUUGCAGCGAGACUCAUGAGGUCCUGCUCACAGCUGGCACACAGAGGCAUGGCUGUAAAAAGAAGAUGCUGGGCAUCAGGACUAAUUGUCCCACCAGAUUCCUCCUCACCUUGGAAAACCCUUGUCUCCUCCCAGCAGGGGAGAUGGGCCGCCUGUCCUGGUGUGGAUACUGGUAUGCCAGCCAGAUGCUCUGCGAGCAGAUUUUCAACUUUCAGUGUCAUUUCAAAUUUCAGAAAAAUAAGUGUGGAAAACAGCCUGAUGACAGCUUUGUGACAUCCACCCCUCUACCUCCGAGUGCCUUUUAUCCGACAGGAAAACAAAACAGUUAAGGAAGACUGGAAAAAUUAAUACACAUUUUCACCCUUUCUCCUC
Molecule: long non-coding RNA, 1257 nt
Filed under: Anser cygnoides (Swan goose)
Lineage: Eukaryota; Metazoa; Chordata; Aves; Anseriformes; Anatidae
Description: lncRNA (ENSACDG00005004381.1)
Source: RNAcentral